RNAcentral lists this ribosomal RNA (1426 nucleotides) under Escherichia coli. Its description in RNAcentral is "bacterial SSU rRNA". It matches the Rfam family "Bacterial small subunit ribosomal RNA". The record is from RNAcentral. Lineage: Bacteria; Pseudomonadati; Pseudomonadota; Gammaproteobacteria; Enterobacterales; Enterobacteriaceae.
UACAUGCAGUCGAACGGUACAGGAAGAGGUUGGCUUCUUCGGUGACGAGUGGCGGAGGGGUGAGUAGUGUGGGGGAAACUGCGUGGUGGGGGGGGAUAUCUAGUGGAAACGGUCUCUUAUACCGCAUAGUGUCGCGAGACCAAAGGGGGGGACCUUCGGGCCUCGUGCCCUCAGAUGUGCCCAGAUGGGAUUAUCUUGUGGGGGGGGUAACGGCUCCUCUGGGACACUAUCCCUAUGUGGUCUGAGAGGAUGACCACCCACUGUGGCUCUGACACGCGGUCCACACUCCUAGGGGAGGCCGCUGGGGGGAAUUUUGCACUGUGGGCGCAAGCGUGAUGCACCCGUGCCGCGUGUAUGAAAAGGGUCUUCGGGUUGAAGAAUUUUUUCCGCGGGGAAGAAGGUAGUGAAGUUAAUACCUUUGCUCUUUGACUUUACCCGCAAAAAAAACCGCGGCUAUCUCCGUGCCAGCCCCCGCGGUAAUACAGAGGGUGCAAGCGUUAAUCAAAUUUACUGGGCGUAAAGCACACGCGGGCGGUUUGUUAACUCAUAUGUGAUAUCCCCGGGCUCAACCUGGGAACUGCAUCUGAUACUGGAGCGCUAGUGUCUUGUAGAGGGGGUGUAGAAUUCCAUGUGUAGCUGUGAAAUGUGUAGAGAUCUAGAAGAAUACCUGUGGCGAAGGCGGCCCCCUGGACAAAGACUGACUCUCGUGUGCGAAAGCGUGGGGAGCAAACAAGAUUAUAUACCCUGAUAGUCCACGCCAUACACGAUGUCCAUUUGGAUGUUGUGCCCUUGAGGCGUGUCUUCCAGAUCUCACGCUUUAACUCCAACCCCCUGGAGUGUACGGUCGCCAAUGAUAAAUCUCAUAUGAAUUGACGGGCGCCCGCACAAGCUGUAGAGCAUGUGGUUUUUAAUUCGAUGCAACGCGAAAAUCCUUACCUGGUCGUGAUCAUCCACAGAACUUUUCAGAUAAUGAUGUGGUGCCUUCGGGAACUGUUAAAACCAGGUGCUGCAUGGCUGUCGUCAGCUCGUGUUGAAAAAUGUUGGGUUAAGUCCCACAACGAGCGCAACCCUUAUCCUUUGUUGCCAGCGGUUCGGCCCGGCACUCAAAGGAAACCGGCAGUGAUAAAUUGGAAGAAGGUGGGGAUGACGUCAAGUCAUCAUGGCCCUUCCGACGAGGGCCACACACGUGCUCUAAUGGCGCAUAAAAAGAAAAGCGACCUCGCGAGAACAAGUAAACCUCAUAAACUCCGUCGUAGUCCGGAUUGGAGUCUGCAACUCGACUCCAUGAAGUCGGAAUCGCUAGUAAUCGUGGAUCAGAAUGCCACGGUGAAUACGUUCCCGGGCCUUGUACACACCGCCCGUCACACCAUGGGAGUGGGUUGCAAAAGAAGUAGGUAGCUUAACCUUCGGAGGGCGCUACCACUGA